This is a long non-coding RNA of Bacillus rossius redtenbacheri, 1538 nucleotides long. RefSeq lists it as uncharacterized. The record is from RefSeq and is a predicted model, not a curated record. The transcript is spliced from 2 exons. NCBI's taxonomy places the organism in Eukaryota, Metazoa, Arthropoda, Insecta, Phasmatodea, Bacillidae.
AGUACGGUUUUCUAUUCCAUUGAAGUUAUUGAAACCACUGGUAAAACACUUCGAAUUAGAAUUUCCCGCUUAAGGCAUCUCAUUCAGCACUACAACAAAUUUAAGCACCUGGCUGUGUCGCCACCGGGCCGUGCAGUGGGCGAUGCAACUCGCGUGACGUCACAGCCCCUGCGCAGUGCCACGCAAGCCUCAGCCGGCCGUAUGGACUCACCUGUUUCCUACCGCCACGAAGAUACGUUUCAAAAUAACACUAAACAUACUUAUAAAAUAUCUGUGCUUGUUGCGUAAGUCAAAAUAUGUGAUAUUGAACUAUUUACUUUUAAAAUUUAUAAGGGAGAUUAGAGACUUUAUUUUAAAACAAUUACUGAGUUUCCAAAGUUCUAAAGCAGUUAAUAAAGCUAAAAAAAAAAAAAAAAAAAAAAAAAAAAAAACUGACUUCAAGAAACCUGAUAAUUUUCAAUCGCGAUUUUCUCAAAACUAUGAUUUUGAACAUAACCCCUUUUACGCAACAAGCACAGAUAUAUCCAUUGAAAAGAAAUAUGCUGAAUUUGGCAUAUAUUAUGGCAUACAUUAUUGUGUAUGUUUAGGAUGGCGUAGUUUGUUUAUUUGGAACUGCUGCAUUACACCCACUGUCCUAGCUAAUUACGACCGGGUUAAAAGUUUCUUACUGUUUGUUAUUGUUUGAUGGUACUUUAAAGAGAGUCAAACAAGAAACCAUAUAAAUGACAGAGUUUUCCCAAAAUACAAAACAGUUUGCAUUCGCACUUAUUGUCAAAUAAUAACGUGAAUCCGAUGGCAGAUUUCUAACAAGUAAAAAACUUUGGGUUGUAAACAAUUGGUUGUGUGCGUAUUGAGGUUUGUAUUCACUAAUUAGCAGUUACAAAGCAAUGGCUCUGCAAUUCGUAAACUUAGUUGUCAGCAAGCUCAUGGAGUGUUCGCAAGGGUUGCUGACAGUAUCGAGUCAGACAAUGUUUCGGCCUCUGCAUGAGUGAAUCAAUGCGCCAGCUGAACAUUUUUAACAUUUGAUGCAAAGUAAUGGCGUCUUUGCUGGCAGUUUGCUAUCACUACAGUAAUGUGAAUAUGUGAGUACUGAGCAGGUUUAUCAACAGCCCAGACAUAAUUCAGGAGGUUCCUAUUCGUGGAAACUAUCCAACAAAGAACGUAAGUUGGUUUAUAAUAUAAGCCCAACACCUAUAGCUUACAUCUUUUUAUAAACAUUAUCACAACUUUACCUUCCUGAAUCACUGUAAUGUUUAUGUAACUUAGUGUAAUAAUAAAAGUUAGUUAAAUUCAAUUUUUUUAAAUAUUGUGCAAAUAAAAAUUAUUUCUGAUAUAUAUAAUGAUAAAAAUAUAUUUUACAAAAAAAGCUUUUUAAUGAAGAACCUCUUGAAAAACUACAUUGCAUGUUAACUGUAUCUGGCUAUUCAAUAAUAUUCCUUGCUGUGGAUAAUAUUCAAUAUACACCAGGAUGGCAACCAUAUUGGCAGUGCGAUUUGUAUGAAAGUGCUUGAUUGAAUAAAGUUCACAACAUAAGCAUG